CCGUCAUAAUGAUUGUAAAGCAGCUUGGCCUUUAUCAGAUUGUGAGUCCAGAGGUCCACACUGGACUCCCCUUUCUAUGCAAUACGUAGGUCACCACACUAUAGAUGCCGUCUAUGUGCAGGCCCCUGCUCUCCGAAAUAUAUUUAAUAAUGGCUUACGAGCUCACAUUUUAACUUUUCUCUCUUUCCUUGGAUCAUGCAAGAAUUUCCUUCAUUAAUCACGAAGAUAUAGUUGUCUUUAACUUGAUGAAAUUUGAAAAGUACUAACUUUCAAUUUAUGCGUUCGAUUGGCUUGUAUGAAGUUACUAAAUGCAAGCAUCAGAACCCUUUGUUUUAGUAGCUAUAGAAAUAUUUCAAAUUUAAAUAAUUAUAUAUAGUGCUAAAUUUACGUGUCAUUAUAAGAUUUUUUUAGCUACCCAGUACAGAAAUGAUAAGGGGACACUAACUGGCAACGCCAGAUAGCUGCGAGCGAUAUGCUGUUCUGCCAGUUCUGGAAAAAGCCAGUUGAUGUUUCAUCGUCGGGGAGAAGAGAGAGUUACACUUAGUCUGCUAACGUACACCCUGUUUUGGGCUGAAAUAGCGACAUUCGGUAUCGUGGCUAUAGUUGGGGUCUCCAUAUCUGCCAUGUUUAUGGGAUACGAGGUCUUAAUCAACGUCUGCAUCGGGGGCGUGAAAGUGACUAUCACGCUAGUCAAACGCAUUUCCAAGAAAAUGGGAUAAGCUACGAACCUCAUCCAGAUUCUACCAGGAUCCAACGUUUGCUCUUUCUGGGAGAUUAACUAGAUUUAAAUAAUUCAGGGAUCCUGAGAGAUAUCUCCUUAAUGUUUUCAUUUCAGAAUACGUUCUUGACUUUUGUUUUUGUAUUAUUUUUUUUAUUUGAUUGACAGCUGUUGCUGCAUUUUUAAAAAAAAAUUUUUAUAUGUUAAUCCCAAUUAAUUACCUUGUUAUUGAAAGUUGUCAGUACAAUGCAUGUAGGUAAUCAUCUCUCUUUUGAAUUCAUGUUGACUGAAGAUCAAUAUGAUUCCAAAGGAGCUUCAAAACAUUUUGCUCUUUCUUUAUAACAUGUAGCCCAAAAUACAUGAUGUAUUACA
Long non-coding RNA from Macrobrachium nipponense, 1090 nucleotides. RefSeq lists it as uncharacterized. The transcript is spliced from 2 exons. NCBI's taxonomy places the organism in Eukaryota, Metazoa, Arthropoda, Malacostraca, Decapoda, Palaemonidae. The record is from RefSeq and is a predicted model, not a curated record.